AUACGUAGGUGGCAAGCGUUGUCCGGAAUUAUUGGGCGUAAAGGGCUCGCAGGCGGUUUCUUAAGUCUGAUGUGAAAGCCCCCGGCUCAACCGGGGAGGGUCAUUGGAAACUGGGAAACUUGAGUGCAGAAGAGGAGAGCGGAAUUCCACGUGUAGCGGUGAAAUGCGUAGAGAUGUGGAGGAACACCAGUGGCGAAGGCGACUCUCUGGUCUGUAACUGACGCUGAGGAGCGAAAGCGUGGGGAGCGAACAGGAUUAGAUACCCUGGUAGUCCACGCCGUAAACGAUGAGUGCUAAGUGUUAGGGGGUUUCCGCCCCUUAGUGCUGCAGCUAACGCAUUAAGCACUCCGACUGGGGAGUACGGUCGCAAGACUGAA
Molecule: ribosomal RNA, 377 nt
Filed under: uncultured bacterium
Lineage: Bacteria
Description: bacterial SSU rRNA
Rfam family: Bacterial small subunit ribosomal RNA
Source: RNAcentral